RNAcentral lists this transfer RNA (121 nucleotides) under Candidatus Woesearchaeota archaeon. Its description in RNAcentral is "tRNA-Val". Lineage: Archaea; Nanobdellati; Candidatus Woesearchaeota. The record is from RNAcentral.
GGGCCUGUGGUCUAGCGGUUAUCUUCAUAAGACUGCAUAUGACAGCGCCCUUACAAGGCGUUAGUCCUCGGUUCAAAUGACGUAGAGGAAAACUCUUCGUCUGACUUUCCGAGCAGGCCCA